AAGUCGUAACAAGGUUUCCGUAGGUGAACCUGCGGAAGGAUCAUUACAAGUGAGGCUACCGAACGUUGGAAACAGCGGUUAGGAGCUUACACCCACCCGUGUUUACAUACUAUUGUUGCUUUGGCGGGCCGUGGCCUCCACUGCGGGCUCUGCUCGUGUGUGCCCGCCAGAGAACCAAACUCUGAAUGUUAGUGAUGUCUGAGUACUAUCUAAUAGUUAAAACUUUCAACAACGGAUCUCUUGGUUCUGGCAUCGAUGAAGAACGCAGCGAAAUGCGAUAAGUAAUGUGAAUUGCAGAAUUCAGUGAACCAUCGAAUCUUUGAACGCACAUUGCGCCCUGUGGUAUUCCGCAGGGCAUGCCUGUUCGAGCGUCAUUUAACCACUCACGCCUAGCGUGGUAUUGGGGCACGCGGUCUCCGCGGCCCUCAAAAUGAGUGGCGGCGCCGGUGGGCUCUAAGCGUAGUACAUACUCCCGCUAUAGAGUUCCCCCGGUGGCUCGCCAGAACCCCCAAUUUUUACAGGUUGACCUCGGAUCAGGUAGGGAUACCCGCUGAACUUAA
This 560-nucleotide ribosomal RNA is filed under the name uncultured fungus. RNAcentral's name for it is "eukaryotic LSU rRNA". The stretch from base 221 to 374 matches the Rfam family "5.8S ribosomal RNA". Lineage: Eukaryota; Fungi. The record is from RNAcentral.